AAAUAUAAGAAUGCUUAAUUUAUGAAAACUUAAUUAUAGAAUAGGUUUCUAAAUUUGUUUUUACCACCCUUUUUCUCUUUGGUAGAAAGAAGCCGGCCGGAGCUAUUAAUAUAAAAUCAAAUCACUCCUACAAGAGAAGAAAAAAAAAAAAGAUCACAGAAUAAUUUAGCAAUGACGAUAAACAUAUAUAAAUUAGGAAAAUAGAUUGUAGGAUGUAAGGUCAUCUCCAAUCCAUUACACCAUUUUUGAUGUAAAAAUUACACUAUUUUGGUGCAAUUUUGACACCAAUUUUUUUGGGUGUCUCCAACC
This 309-nucleotide long non-coding RNA is filed under the name Brassica napus (rape). RNAcentral's name for it is "long non-coding RNA (BNAP_LNC011751)". The record is from RNAcentral. Lineage: Eukaryota; Viridiplantae; Streptophyta; Magnoliopsida; Brassicales; Brassicaceae.